CCUUGCGCGCGCUGCGCUGGGCUCCGCUCUGCAGCCGGCGGGACGCGGCGGCGGCGGCACUCGCGGUCCUUUGUGCUCCGGCGGCGGCCUCUCGGGUGCUCGCUGCGCGUCCUCGGCCUCUCGGUCGGGCAGCCCGAGCUCUGCGGUGCCGGACCAUGUCGACGGCAGGAACGGGCGCGGGCGUGGAGGCGGGCUUCUCCAGCGAGGAGCUGCUGUCGCUCCGCUUCCCGCUGCACCGCGCCUGCCGCGACGGGGACCUGGGCGCGCUCUGCUCGCUGUUGCAGCGGACGCCGCGCGCGCAGCUGGCCGCCGAGGACUCCUUCUACGGCUGGACGCCCGUGCACUGGGCCGCGCACUUCGGCAAGCUGGAGUGCCUGAUCCAGUUGGUGAGAGCCGGGGCCACGCUGGACGUUUCCACGACGCGCUAUGCACAGACCCCUGCCCACAUCGCUGCUUUCGGGGGACACCCCGGGUGCCUCCUCUGGCUGAUCCAAGCCGGGGCCAGCGUUAACAAACCGGACUGUGAGGGCGAGACCCCCAUUCACAAGGCAGCUCGCUCCGGGAGCCUGGACUGCAUCAGUGCCCUGGUGGCCAACGGGGCCCACAUCGACCUGAGGAACGCCAGUGGCCUGACAGCAGCAGACAUUGCUCAAACCCAGGGUUUCCAAGAGUGCACCCAGUUUCUCUUGAACCUGCAGAACUGUCACCUGAGCCGUUUCUAUGAUAACGGCCCCAUAAACGGGGGCCAUCAGAACCGAUUCCCUAAUCAUACUAGUGCGGGAGCCAAUCGCAAGAGAUGCUUCGAAGAUCCAGAGCCCUUUGGAGUGAAGAAGGCUCGAACUGAAGCUCGGAGCUUGGGUCCCUGCACGCCGCUGGGGAACAGCGACGCAGACGAUGAAGCUGACAAAAUGCUGGUCGACAGAGAGCUCACGGCUGUCACAGGUGGGAGUGGACAGUUCCCUGUUAGCUGCGGCAGCAGCCCCAUGGUCGAAGACAGCAGACAGCAGGAGGGUGGUUCUGUCGGACCCAGAGAAAUAGAAGUAUACACGGUCUCAGCGAUGCAGACGCCUUGCCGCUGCAGAAGCCAGUGUGCGUACUAUUUCUGACCUGAGUGUCCUCCCCAGCGCUGCACUUUGUUGUCCGACGUUUUAAAGAAUGUUACACUACAGUUUGCGCAUCUUGGGCGAGUUUGUAGAUACGAGGAUGAGUGUGUCAGGUGCAUUCUGUAGACAUGAGAUGUUUGAGUGCAAUCUUCCUAUUUUGGUUUGACGCUUCCGCUUAACGUGCCUUGUUUAAUUUCAAAGAGGUUUCGCAUGCUUACUUUCCUGACAUGUGACCUUUGGGUGAACACAUCAGACAUCUGUAGCUAGUAGUUCCGCCGGGUGCACAGCAAGGAUGAUUUGCUGUGGACAUGGAGGACGGGUAGAUGGUUUUGACCCGCGACUGGGCUCGCCAGCGUGGGGCCUCCCACUCGCCUCUGCUGGCUGCUGUGGUUUCUGGGAGGGCAGCUCGGUCCAGCCAAGCGCUGGGCGCCGUGGCCCGCAGACACGUACGCGCUGCGGGUGCUCAUGUCUCUGCACGGUCGAUGGUUCAGGCUGUUUCUUUAGCAUUCAGAAUCUCUCAAGACUUUUCCUUGGAGUUAAUACUUUUCUCUGCCAAUUUUCUCUUUAGAUGACCAUGAAAACAUCUUAGCAGUUUUCUUACUGUGUUAAUAUAUGUAGAAAUAGAUACUGGUUUGUUUAAGGUUUUAUUAUGUCUCUAUGCUAAAUUCUUCACUGGGGUAAGAGAUUAUGCAUUAUGCUUCCCAGACAUACACGAAAAACUAUUUCUGUGACUAAAAAUGGAAGGAAAAUGUGUACAUCUUUCUAGAAGCUACAGGGUUACAGGUGGAAUCACCUUUUUGCCACAUCAUUAAAUGGGUAGAUUUUCUAUGGAAAAUUCUAAUACGUUAGUAAUUUAAAGACCUUGGCUAAAGACAAGUAACAAAACUCAAAGCUUUUCAAAACAAAUGACAUAGCUACAUGCUUUAAAAGGCAGAAGUAACCUCUAAACUUCAGGCGUUAAUAUCCUGCAUUUUCAGGCCAAAUUUAAUAGCCAGCGUGGGUGUCGCGUUGAAAAGGCCACACUUUUAUUUCAAGCCCAGCUUGUCCUGUGUGACGGGCGCCAUACUUCCGGUCACCUCGCGUACAGCACCGUCUGCCCACGUGCACAAAACGGGCUGAGCUCCUGGGGGCCGUGCCAUGGGCAGGCAAGUAGUGUGCGGGAGCACGGGCCCGGAGAGGCGUGAGGGGCAAGGAGCUAGGACGGUGUUGGAGGCAGCCAGGCGGGGUCCCGAAUAGCCAGUCUCUAGGAUGUCCGCCGUUCUCGUGCUCAGCUGGAUUAGAUUUUCCACAAGGACAUGAGGUCAUCAAGUAGCCUUGGUGUUGACAUUGCGUCCAGCGCUCGCCCUCGCACCCCCUGGGGACUAGAGGAGACGCGUCGCACGGAGCUCAGAGAACUGAGUCAAGGCGGCUCCGACCUCUGACCCGGUGCUCCUGGACCUUUUCAGGGCUGAUCCCCCGGAAACCUCAUGUCCGUGUCUGUUACUGGGACACAGUUAUUUGUCUUAGUGACCAUCAGGGUCGCCAUCAUACUCAUGAAUUUCAUCACCCAGGAACACUGAUUAAAGUUCUCUGGGAUUAGCUCAUUUUAUUUCUUUUUAUUCUACUUCAUGUUCAGUUCUUGAAAUACUACUUCUCUAGCCUUGAGUUUUAACUAAAUAAAAGAGCUGAUUUAGGGGGGAAAAAAAGUCCCUUAUCCUCUGAAGAAUUUAUAGCAGUUAUGAAGCAUGAUUAUCACUUAAACUGCCAGGAAAAUGAUUAAUGGAAUGUGUAGAAGGUGUUUUUGUUCAUUGAACAAGCCAUGAUUUUUUAUUGGCAGGAAGAUUUGCGGGACACGCAGAAACCUAUGUCCAAGUGCAAAUCAGACACCUGGCUGCCUCAUUAGAUGAAUGAAGGCUUGGACGUCAGAGUCCACUCACCUGGCGAACUCGGAAGGCCCCGCCAGGGCUGGCGCUGCUGCGCCGCCCGUCCCAGACCGCACGCGUGAGAGCGCUUAGUGUCCCGUCCUCGCCGGCCGCUUGCCGCCACACCGGUGCCACGCGGACGCGAGGGUCGCUAAGAUCUGAGCUCCCGUGUCAGAGCGCCAGGCCUGAGCCAUGGGCGCGUCCCUGGAGCUCGCGUGGCGCUGCCUCGCCCGGUCCCAGGCGCCCCCGGCCCCCAUGUCGGCGGCCACCUUCCUUCCUUUCCUCUUUUCCUUCAGAGCUGGAGGGGUGGGGGCUUAUUUAGCCCGUGGGAGACCUCCCCUUCGUUCUGCUGGCCGGUCUCGCAGGUGAUUUUUAAAAUGUCUUCCUGAAAGUAGUCUUGACACGAGAGCACUUUCUCGAUUCUGGUGUUGCUGGCGGCGCUACGGGGCUGCUGGUCGUUUUCAUGCCGCAGAGCUGUCGCCUCAGGCGUCCGCAUCCAGUCACUCGGUGCAGCCAAAAGCCAGAGAUGUGUCUUGUCUUACCAGGAACAUGCUGCUGUUGGUUCUAUUUUUAAAUCUGCCUAUGCAGUUUUUUACCUCCGGAAAAGGAACUGGUUUGUUCUAAAGAAAAAAAAAAAAAAGAA
RNA transcript from Mustela lutreola (European mink), 3647 nucleotides. It is a transcript of the gene named ankyrin repeat domain 10, with no coding region annotated. The record is from RefSeq and is a predicted model, not a curated record. Lineage: Eukaryota; Metazoa; Chordata; Mammalia; Carnivora; Mustelidae. The transcript has 6 exons.